RNAcentral lists this ribosomal RNA (270 nucleotides) under uncultured bacterium. RNAcentral's name for it is "partial 16S ribosomal RNA". It matches the Rfam family "Bacterial small subunit ribosomal RNA", at positions 32 to 292 of the family's 1533-position model. The record is from RNAcentral.
AAUCAACGCUGGCGGCGUGCCUCAGACAUGCAAGUCGAACGAUUAAGACUCCCUUCGGGGAGUGUAUAAAGUGGCGCACGGGUGAGUAACACGUAGGUAAUCUACCUUUGAGUGGGGAAUAACAAUCGGAAACGAUUGCUAAUACCGCAUAAUGCAGCGGCACCGCAAGGUGACAGUUGUUAAAGGAGCAAUUCGCUUAAAGAGGAGCCUGCGGCAGAUUAGCUAGUUGGUAAGGUAAUGGCUUACCAAGGCUACGAUCUGUAACCGACC